Molecule: long non-coding RNA, 1390 nt
Organism: Cheilinus undulatus (humphead wrasse)
Lineage: Eukaryota; Metazoa; Chordata; Actinopteri; Labriformes; Labridae
Exons: 4
Source: RefSeq, a predicted model, not a curated record
GAAAGUUGUCUCUCUCCCUCUCCCCAUCCCUCCCUGCUCCCUCUUCUUCUUCUUCCAUCAUGUGCUUGGGAUAUGCUCACAGAGCAGCCGAAGCACGCCUAAUGCUGGCUGGCUUAUUGUUAGCGGCACUUUUAAACUGAUGCCCCUCCACUAAAUGAAAUGGCUGGGAUCUUUGAGGAGAACAUUUACCACAUCACUGUACACACGGACCAAAGUGCGCUCCUUCUCCUGCUUGGGACGCUUUUCUGACCGGCUGCUGUGAUUUCACUCUCCGAGGAACACUGAUGGAGAAGAGCAAGUGUGAAGAACUGCAGGCAGAAAGAAGCAGAGGUCAACACCAGAUCUCUGGGAUUUUGCUCUCCGAUGGACCCACAUGAGGUGAACAGGGAACGAAGAUUAUGACCCAGAAACAAAUGGCCUAACGACUGGACUCUCCAGGCUAAAGAUGAGAAGGAUAUUCAGCUGAUCUCAGAGGUAACCGAGUCCUCUGGAUUAACAAGAGAAGAGUCUGGAUUUUGGCUUCAAGACUUCUACACUUCAGAUCGCUAUCUCUGACACCUGGACCAGCACUGCACUCUUUUUUUUAUUUCUGUCUAGGGGUGUUAGAAAAUAUACACUGAUAUAUCGCGAUAUUUCGUGGCGCAAUACUGUAUUGAUAUUUUAAAAUGCAGUAUCGAUAUUUUUUUAAAUAAUAAUUUACUUUGUGCAGUAGUUUGUGGUGUAAUUUCACCCCCUGGCCGCUAGUUGGCAGCAAACAGUCACUUCCUCUUCUCCUCUGCUUAGACAACAAGCUCACACAAGACUUCCAGUCUGAGCGAGCCGGUUGCUCAUGCCUACCGCUGCAGUGCAGCUUCUGCUGCAAUUUGUAGCAGAUAUGUGGACUUAUUUUGGCUUCCAAAACAUUAAAGACUGUACAGACUUAAACAGGAGUCAUGUUGUUUGUAAGAUACGCCACGCCAGAGUGAAAUACCUGGACAACAGGAUGAACCUGAGCAUCAUAGCAAUAGCUUAGCGGCUAACAGCUAACGGGAAAGAGGCCUGCUGAAGCUACCGCUGACUUUAACUUAUGUAACCAUAAUUACCCAGUCAAUACUUAAUAUUUUUUGUAAGGACCUGUGCCAUCAUAGUGUCGUUAAGAAUGACUGUCAUAUGAUUAAAAAAUACACUGGCCCGUCACAUCAUGCCCUCCUCACAACACAGUCCAUCAGUCCUUGAAGCUGGACAUGAGGAUUGGUCUUCCUCCACAAGCACCUUGUCAUUACGUUAAGACAUGCAAGCUGAUGUACCAUGAAAAGAUUUACUCUAUAUUCAUUUAUAUUUCCACUUUUCUUUUUGAAAUCCUUAAAGCAUUUUAAUCCAUUACAACAAAUGGGAAAAAUCCUCAUCUUCA